RNAcentral lists this transfer RNA (72 nucleotides) under Dipodomys ordii (Ord's kangaroo rat). It matches the Rfam family "tRNA". From Rfam's summary of the family: Transfer RNA (tRNA) molecules are approximately 80 nucleotides in length. Their secondary structure includes four short double-helical elements and three loops (D, anti-codon, and T loops). Further hydrogen bonds mediate the characteristic L-shaped molecular structure. tRNAs have two regions of fundamental functional importance: the anti-codon, which is responsible for specific mRNA codon recognition, and the 3' end, to which the tRNAs corresponding amino acid is attached (by aminoacyl-tRNA synthetases). tRNAs cope with the degeneracy of the genetic code in two manners: having more than one tRNA (with a specific anti-codon) for a particular amino acid; and 'wobble' base-pairing, i.e. permitting non-standard base-pairing at the 3rd anti-codon position. The record is from Rfam by way of RNAcentral. Lineage: Eukaryota; Metazoa; Chordata; Mammalia; Rodentia; Heteromyidae.
GGGAAGUUGGCUCAGUGGUAGAGCGCUCGCCUUGCAUGCCUGAGGCCCUGGGUUCGAUUCCUCAGCAUCACA